GACGAACGCUGGCGGCGUGCUUAACACAUGCAAGUCGAGCGGUAAGGCCCUUUCGGGGGUACGACGAGCGGCGAACGGGUGAGUAACACGUGGGUGACCUGCCCUCAGCUCUGGGGUAAGGCCUGGGAAACCGGGUCUAAUACUGGAUAUGACUCCAUGACGCAUGUUGUGGGGUGGAAAGCCUUGUGCGGCUGAGGAUGGGCCCGGCGGCCUAUCAGCUUGUUGGUGGGGUGAUGGCCUACCAAGGCGACGACGGGUAGCCGGCCUGAGAGGGCGACCGGCCACACUGGGACUGAGACACGGCCCAGACUCCUACGGGAGGCAGCAGUGGGGAAUCUUGCGCAAUGGGCGAAAGCCUGACGCAGCGACGCCGCGUGAGGGAUGACGGCCU
Molecule: ribosomal RNA, 391 nt
Filed under: uncultured bacterium
Lineage: Bacteria
Description: bacterial SSU rRNA
Rfam family: Bacterial small subunit ribosomal RNA
Source: RNAcentral